GACUUACUUAGAGGAUCCCGUAGGAGCAAUUUAUAUAGACGAGGGCUAGAACCCAUAGCAAUGGAAUCUUGGGAUGUGAGAGGCAGCCAUUUUGGAUAAUUGCUCACAUGUUCGGCAGAUAUUGCAUGGAUAAUUCUCCUAUGCAUAUAGUUAUGGAAAUUGUUUUAUUGUUAUAGGCUAACUAUAACUAAGCAGGAGGAGAUUUGGGCAUCUCCAUGCACCUCUAGACUGGC
Molecule: long non-coding RNA, 233 nt
Filed under: Elaeis guineensis (African oil palm)
Lineage: Eukaryota; Viridiplantae; Streptophyta; Magnoliopsida; Arecales; Arecaceae
Description: long non-coding RNA (EGUI_LNC078245)
Source: RNAcentral